UUCUACAGCCAUGCCACCCUGAACACUCCCGAUCUCAUCUGACUUAGAAGCUAAGCAGGGUUGGCCCUAGUUAGUACUUAGAUGGGAGACCAUCUAGGAAAACCUGGUGCUGUAGGUG
RNAcentral lists this ribosomal RNA (118 nucleotides) under Pteropus alecto (black flying fox). Lineage: Eukaryota; Metazoa; Chordata; Mammalia; Chiroptera; Pteropodidae. The record is from RNAcentral. RNAcentral also lists the same sequence under 1 other name.